AAUGUGCCAGUGGGCCACUUUUGGUAAGCAGAACUGGCGCUGUGGGAUGAACCAAACGUAAUGUUACGGUGCCCAAAUUAACAACUCAUGCAGAUACCAUGAAAGGCGUUGGUUGCUUAAAACAGCAGGACGGUGAUCAUGGAAGUCGAAAUCCGCUAAGGAGUGUGUAACAACUCACCUGCCGAAGCAACUAGCCCUUAAAAUGGAUGGCGCUUAAGUUGUAUACCUAUACAUUACCGCUAAAGUAGAUGAUUUAUAUUACUUGUGAUAUAAAUUUUGAAACUUUAGUGAGUAGGAAGGUACAAUGGUAUGCGUAGAAGUGUUUGGCGUAAGCCUGCAUGGAGCUGCCAUUGGUACAGAUCUUGGUGGUAGUAGCAAAUAAUCGAAUGAGACCUUGGAGGACUGAAGUGGAGAAGGGUUUCGUGUGAACAGUGGUUGAUCACGAGUUAGUCGGUCCUAAGUUCAAGGCGAAAGCCGAAAAUUUUCAAGUAAAACAAAAAUGCCUAACUAUAUAAACAAAGCGAAUAUAAUACACUUGAAUAAUUUUGAACGAAAGGGAAUACGGUUCCAAUUCCGUAACCUGUUGAGUAUCCGUUUGUUAUUAAAUAUGGGCCUCGUGCUCAUCCUGGCAACAGGAACGACCAUAAAGAAGCCGUCGAGAGAUAUCGGAAGAGUUUUCUUUUCUGUUUUAUAGCCGUACUACCAUGGAAGUCUUUCGCAGAGAGAUAUGGUAGAUGGGCUAGAAGAGCAUGACAUAUACUGUUGUGUCGAUAUUUUCUCCUCGGACCUUGAAAAUUUAUGGUGGGGGACACGCAAACUUCUCAACAGGCCGUACCAAUAUCCGCAGCUGGUCUCCAAGGUGAAGAGUCUCUAGUCGAUAGAAUAAUGUAGGUAAGGGAAGUCGGCAAAUUAGAUCCGUAACUUCGGGAUAAGGAUUGGCUCUGAAGAUUGAGAUAGUCGGGCUUGAUUGGGAAACAAUAACAUGGUUUAUGUGCUCGUUCUGGGUAAAUAGAGUUUCUAGCAUUUAUGUUAGUUACUUGUUCCCCGGAUAGUUUAGUUACGUAGCCAAUUGUGGAACUUUCUUGCUAAAAUUUUUAAGAAUACUAUUUGGGUUAAACCAAUUAGUUCUUAUCAAUUAUAACGAUUAUCAAUUAACAAUCAAUUCAGAACUGGCACGGACUUGGGGAAUCCGACUGUCUAAUUAAAACAAAGCAUUGUGAUGGCCCUAGCGGGUGUUGACACAAUGUGAUUUCUGCCCAGUGCUCUGAAUGUCAAAGUGAAGAAAUUCAAGUAAGCGCGGGUCAACGGCGGGAGUAACUAUGACUCUCUUAAGGUAGCCAAAUGCCUCGUCAUCUAAUUAGUGACGCGCAUGAAUGGAUUAACGAGAUUCCUACUGUCCCUAUCUACUAUCUAGCGAAACCACAGCCAAGGGAACGGGCUUGGAAUAAUUAGCGGGGAAAGAAGACCCUUUUGAGCUUGACUCUAUCUGGCAGUGUAAGGAGACAUAAGAGGUGUAGAUAAGUGGAGAAUAGACCUCGGGGAUCAGGGGUAAUGCUGAGCAGAGGGGGAGUAUUUUCUGUAAUCGUAGUCAUAUCA
RNAcentral lists this non-coding RNA (1596 nucleotides) under Drosophila sechellia. RNAcentral's name for it is "Eukaryotic large subunit ribosomal RNA". It matches the Rfam family "Eukaryotic large subunit ribosomal RNA", at positions 1117 to 2499 of the family's 3401-position model. The record is from Rfam by way of RNAcentral. Lineage: Eukaryota; Metazoa; Arthropoda; Insecta; Diptera; Drosophilidae.